Telopea speciosissima is the source of this 138-nucleotide long non-coding RNA. RefSeq lists it as uncharacterized. The transcript has 3 exons. The record is from RefSeq and is a predicted model, not a curated record. Lineage: Eukaryota; Viridiplantae; Streptophyta; Magnoliopsida; Proteales; Proteaceae.
GUCCAUCCAAAUUUUGACGUGGCUUCUGAAAUGACAUGGUAUGGGUAUUGACCAUGAAAGCCAUAACACGCUCCGAAACACGUAUGUCCUCCAUUCUGAGCUCCUACAACAAUUGGCCAUAUUCUGGCACGUGAAUCA